Molecule: long non-coding RNA, 647 nt
Filed under: Citrus sinensis (sweet orange)
Lineage: Eukaryota; Viridiplantae; Streptophyta; Magnoliopsida; Sapindales; Rutaceae
Description: long non-coding RNA (CSIN_LNC001469)
Source: RNAcentral
CUCAGUCGGAAAUUUUGAUCGGAAAAGAAGCUGUUUUCGCCGGAGAGGAGAAUUUUCCCCGGUGACAAGACCCUUUUUCUUCUUUGACUGGAAGGUGAGUCAGUCCAGUCGAUGAAAGAGAGAGAGAGAGAGAGAGAGAGAGAGAGAAAAGUUGGUUUGAAUCCAUGUAUUAAAUAAGAAUAAAUAAAGGUCUUCGGGAACUCAGGUUGGUGCUGUUGGGUGCUGAUGAUUGCAAGAGUUGGCGUCGCAUGGACCAUCUACAGAGCAAAAACCGGCAAAAACGUUUACUCCGUCGGAAAUUUUGAUCGGAAACGAAGCUGUUUUCGCCGGAGAGGAGAAUUUUUCCCCGGUGACAAGACCCUUUUUCUUCUUUGACUAGAAGGUGAGUCAGUCCAGUCGAUGAAAGAAAGGGAGAGAGAGAAAGAAAAGUUAGUUUGAAUCCAUGUAUUAAAUAAGACUAAAUAAUUGAAUUAAAAUACAGGCACUGGAGCUGGAGCACACCACGCCGUUCUUCCUUCGCAUUCCGAAGAAACGUGAUUAAUUUUUCAUUAAACAAAUGAACUUUUGAUUGUGUCAAUCGAAAACGAUGUACGGACACAGAGGAAACGAUCAUGAUAUGAUGAUGAUGAUACAUGGUCUCCCCCUAG